GUCAAAUUAGCAAAAAUAGUGCAAAUAAUUUAGAAUUAUUAUAUGAAAUAGAACAUUUCAUUUGAUA
This 67-nucleotide transfer RNA is filed under the name Chiton albolineatus. RNAcentral describes it as "tRNA-Leu". Lineage: Eukaryota; Metazoa; Mollusca; Polyplacophora; Chitonida; Chitonidae. The record is from RNAcentral.